RNAcentral lists this transfer RNA (71 nucleotides) under Cairneyella variabilis. RNAcentral's name for it is "tRNA-Gly". It matches the Rfam family "tRNA". From Rfam's summary of the family: Transfer RNA (tRNA) molecules are approximately 80 nucleotides in length. Their secondary structure includes four short double-helical elements and three loops (D, anti-codon, and T loops). Further hydrogen bonds mediate the characteristic L-shaped molecular structure. tRNAs have two regions of fundamental functional importance: the anti-codon, which is responsible for specific mRNA codon recognition, and the 3' end, to which the tRNAs corresponding amino acid is attached (by aminoacyl-tRNA synthetases). tRNAs cope with the degeneracy of the genetic code in two manners: having more than one tRNA (with a specific anti-codon) for a particular amino acid; and 'wobble' base-pairing, i.e. permitting non-standard base-pairing at the 3rd anti-codon position. The record is from RNAcentral. Lineage: Eukaryota; Fungi; Ascomycota; Leotiomycetes; Helotiales.
ACGGUUUUAGUUUAAUGGUAAAACGUUCGUUUUCCAAACGAUUUUUGUUGAUUCAAAUUCAACAAACCGUA